Molecule: transfer RNA, 74 nt
Filed under: Candidatus Omnitrophica bacterium CG11_big_fil_rev_8_21_14_0_20_64_10
Lineage: Bacteria; Pseudomonadati; Candidatus Omnitrophota
Description: tRNA-Arg
Rfam family: tRNA
About the family: Transfer RNA (tRNA) molecules are approximately 80 nucleotides in length. Their secondary structure includes four short double-helical elements and three loops (D, anti-codon, and T loops).
Source: RNAcentral
GCGCUCGUAGCUCAGCUGGAUAGAGCACUAGCUUGCGGAGCUAGGUGUCGGGGGUUCAAAUCCCUCCGAGCGCG